ACACGACUACAUUAGAUACCCGUGUAGUCCAGGGUGUAAACGCUGCGGGCUUGGUGUUGGGGUCCUUAGUGGGCGCCCAGUGCCGGAGAGAAGUUGUUAAGCCUGCUGCUUGGGGAGUAUGUCCGCAAGGAGGAAACUUAAAGGAAUUGGCGGGGGAGCACCACAACGGGUGGAGCUUGCGGUUUAAUUGGAUUCAACGCCAGAAAUCUUACCGGGACCGACAGCAACAUGAAGGCCAGGCUGAAGACUUUGCCGGAUUAGCUG
RNAcentral lists this ribosomal RNA (264 nucleotides) under uncultured archaeon. Its description in RNAcentral is "partial 16S ribosomal RNA". It matches the Rfam family "Archaeal small subunit ribosomal RNA", at positions 719 to 982 of the family's 1478-position model. The record is from RNAcentral.